AACUAUAUGAUAUAAUAUAUAGCGUUUCUGCUCAAUGGAACUCUAAAUAGCCGCAGUACUCUGACUGUGCAAAGGUAGCAUAAUCAAUUGGCCUCUAAUUAAGGUCUAGUAUGAACGAACUUAUGGGUAGCAACUGUCUUAAAAUAGUAAAUUAAAUUAAUUAAUAAGUGCAAAUGCUUAUUUGAUUAUAUUAGACGAGAAGACCCUAGAAACUUAUUAUAUUUUGUUGGGGCGACAGAAUUACAUAAAACUAAUUUUAUUUUACGGGACGUAAAACAGAAAGAUAAAGUUACUCUAGGGAUAACAGCAUAAUUUUAAUUAGCUUGUGACCUCGAUGUUGGACUAGGUAGAAAGUUUUUUAGAAGAAAGCUUUCUUCGCUCUGUUCGAGCAAUUUUAACCUACAU
Molecule: ribosomal RNA, 405 nt
Filed under: Massylaea massylaea
Lineage: Eukaryota; Metazoa; Mollusca; Gastropoda; Stylommatophora; Helicidae
Description: partial 16S ribosomal RNA
Rfam family: Bacterial large subunit ribosomal RNA
Source: RNAcentral